UGCGGAAUAGAGCAGUUGGUAGCUCGUCAGUUUCAUGUGCUGAAGGCCGUAGGUUCGAGUCCUACUUCCGCUACUAA
Molecule: transfer RNA, 77 nt
Filed under: Caudoviricetes sp.
Lineage: Duplodnaviria; Heunggongvirae; Uroviricota; Caudoviricetes
Description: tRNA-Met
Rfam family: tRNA
About the family: Transfer RNA (tRNA) molecules are approximately 80 nucleotides in length. Their secondary structure includes four short double-helical elements and three loops (D, anti-codon, and T loops).
Source: RNAcentral